CAGGAAGGCUGUGGUCCAAGGCCAUUUUUGCUGGCUGUACAUGGGGUUUCCAGAACCAAAGGGGGCACACAGCUCUUCUUAAAAUUUCAGCAUUUAUGCCUGGGAUAAACUGAAUUCUAUUUGGGCAAGAGAUGUGCUCAUGUACACAAAGCAAAGAACCACACAGCGACUUCUGGUGGCACACCAAACAAAACCAGAGUAAUCUGGGAAAAAGUAACUUGGGUUCACGGAAACAGUGGCAUGGUUUAUGCCAAAUUCCCAAUCUUCCUGCUAAGACUACAGACACACAAUCUGUGUGAUACUGCACCGCUCAAGGAUUUA
RNAcentral lists this long non-coding RNA (321 nucleotides) under Homo sapiens (human). RNAcentral's name for it is "non-protein coding lnc-SRPRA-2:1". The record is from RNAcentral. Lineage: Eukaryota; Metazoa; Chordata; Mammalia; Primates; Hominidae.